RNAcentral lists this unclassified non-coding RNA (240 nucleotides) under fungal sp. RNAcentral describes it as "partial internal transcribed spacer region". The stretch from base 1 to 46 matches the Rfam family "Eukaryotic small subunit ribosomal RNA", at positions 1786 to 1831 of the family's 1831-position model. Lineage: Eukaryota; Fungi. The record is from RNAcentral.
AAGUCGUAACAAGGUCUCCGUUGGUGAACCAGCGGAGGGAUCAUUACUGAGUGUAAAAACUCCCAAACCCAUUGUGAACAUACCACUGUUGCUUCGGCGGAUGCGCCCCGGGCGCGCUCCUCACAGGGCGUGCCCCGGAACCAGGGGCCCGCCGGGGGACCGAAACUCUUGUUUUUAUAGGAUCUCUGAGUGUGAUUAUAAAAUAAAUCAAAACUUUCAACAACGGAUCUCUUGGCUCUA